AAAUUGAAGAGUUUGAUCAUGGCUCAGAUUGAACGCUGGCGGCAGGCCUAACACAUGCAAGUCGAACGGUAACAGGAAACAGCUUGCUGUUUCGCUGACGAGUGGCGGACGGGUGAGUAAUGUCUGGGAAACUGCCUGAUGGAGGGGGAUAACUACUGGAAACGGUAGCUAAUACCGCAUAAUGUCGCAAGACUAAAGAGGGGGACCUUCGGGCCUCUUGCCAUCGGAUGUGCC
RNAcentral lists this ribosomal RNA (234 nucleotides) under Escherichia coli. RNAcentral's name for it is "partial 16S ribosomal RNA". It matches the Rfam family "Bacterial small subunit ribosomal RNA", at positions 1 to 231 of the family's 1533-position model. RNAcentral also lists the same sequence under 1 other name. Lineage: Bacteria; Pseudomonadati; Pseudomonadota; Gammaproteobacteria; Enterobacterales; Enterobacteriaceae. The record is from RNAcentral.